UUGAGGCAACAAUUUCUAAUUCCGAACUCGAAAUGAAACUGUGUAAACCAUCUUCCAAGCUAUCCCACUCAGUAUCAUUGGAGCCUGACCAAUCCUGACGCACCGUUUCCACGAUUCCAACAGCUUUGUUGCCUCAAUUCCCCAGUGUGGUCGCUGAACCGAACGGCUCCAUCACCAGCGGGUCCUGAUCCUAGCUCAUAUGGUAUAAUUCAGACAAGCUCAUGCGGACAAGGCCCACAACCCGAAUUCAGGUACCAGUCUACCAGACACAUAAUCCGAUGCACAUCUGAUUGCCGACCGGACUUGAUCUGAUAGGCUGGGAACCAUUUUCCCAAUACCUCCCAUCCUUACUGAACAAACUGAACUACAGAUAGAUACGUCGUGUAAGGUGAGAUUAUCUUUAAAAGGCAGCGCGUGCUCUCCUUUGUUGUGUUUUUUCGAUGCCUAACUCUUAGCUCUGCGCUCAUCGUCGUCUGCUUUUUAUGUGUU
RNAcentral lists this long non-coding RNA (489 nucleotides) under Setaria italica (foxtail millet). RNAcentral describes it as "long non-coding RNA (SITA_LNC006537)". Lineage: Eukaryota; Viridiplantae; Streptophyta; Magnoliopsida; Poales; Poaceae. The record is from RNAcentral.